CAGCAGCCGCGGUAAUACGUAGGGUGCAAGCGUUGUCCGGAAUCAUUGGGCGUAAAGCGCGCGUAGGUGGCCAUUUAAGUCCGCUGUGAAAGUCAAAGGCUCAACCUUUGAAAGCCGGUGGAUACUGGAUGGCUAGAGUACGGAAGAGGCGAGUGGAAUUCCUGGUGUAGCGGUGGAAUGCGCAGAUAUCAGGAGGAACACCAAUAGCGAAGGCAGCUCGCUGGGACGUUACUGACACUGAGGCGCGAAAGCGUGGGGAGCGAACAGGAUUAGAUACCCCCGUAGUCCCUGUCUCUUAUAC
RNAcentral lists this ribosomal RNA (301 nucleotides) under uncultured bacterium. RNAcentral describes it as "partial 16S ribosomal RNA". It matches the Rfam family "Bacterial small subunit ribosomal RNA", at positions 509 to 807 of the family's 1533-position model. The record is from RNAcentral.